AUCUGUGUCUACUUGACUAAUUGUUAUUAUAAUGUGUUACCUCAACAGGUUUGAUCGGGGAAAUUGUUCUUCUUUACACUGUUUAAACAUGUGUAGAGGUUUUAGACAAGGCACACUUUAUUAGACAUAACAACCAAUAUAUUCAGCAUUGUGAUGAUACUUAUGCCAGACCAAUACCAGUCUCAGUAUUUGGUUUAUUUCAGAUAUUUUUUUGUGUGUGUGUCCACACCUGUCCUGUACACAGUAGCCUAUAGUUCUAAACCUUAAACAAUUAGAUCUGUCUAGCAACAAAGUUUGCACAACAUAUAUGAAUUUUGGUUGGUGUUUGUUCUUAAUGUAUCAAAUUUCAUGUCAGCUGAUUGGAGUUGGUUUUAAAGGUCUCCUCCUUUAUAGAGGGUAAAUAUGUAGUGUUCUGAGAUUUAUUUCGCUUCGGUGGAAGGAAGAGCGCUGGGUCACAUGCAGCAGACUAGAAUAUUAGCAUUAAUAUUACAUCAGAUUUUCAAAAUUAGAAAACUACACAACAACAUCAACUUUAGUUUCAAUGCAGUGAAAAUAGCAAGGUCUAUAAAUGAAGAAAAGAAGAAAUCCAGCAGAAGGACCCGGAAAACUUAAGCUCAAUGAAAAUUCAAUUCUGUAUGGAAAUGCAGAUGGAACUUGGUCUGUCGCUCGUUCAGCAGUCUGUAGUAGCUAUGAAGACUUCAGAACAGAAAUAACUCAAAGUCCUGUUGUGUUUACCGCAUUGGUGCCAAACUUGAAUGGCUGCUCCACUGAGCAAGGAUAAAAGGUUUCACAGACAAAUCCUCUGGAUGGAAAACUUUUUUUCACACAUGGCCACUGCUUGAUCGGAGCGGCAUCCUGUUUUUGAACGCUGCGCCUGAAAGCUGCCCUGUGUCUCGCUGAUCUAUCCACGAACUGACAAAAUGAUUUCGGACAUGUUUCUGGGGCAGCUUAACUCUCAAGGAUUUGGAGCCGCACACACAGGACUGUUGUAUCACAGGCAGCGCGAUGGAAAGGGGGUUGUCAGCCUCCGAAAUUUGACGGUUUUGCCCUGCGUUUAAGUCGUAAUGUCACGUAGCCUAUUUUAAUUUUGAAUGUCUCAUUUUAUUUUUCUCUGAAUAUGCAAUACCUCCAUAAAAAAUAACACAAAUGCAAAAGGGGAUAGUUGGGUUUAAAUAAUCAUUUUGUGGGCUACACAGUGAUGUUCUAGAUAGAGAGUUAGAUUAUGUUUUCUGGCGUGGACGGAGCAAAGUGUGGGAGUCAGUGUGGACUUCAUCAAAAGUAAGUCUGGUUAGAUCAGCUACAGCUAGGCUACACCAGAAACAUAGGCUACUGGACAACAAGGCUCUGCUUUAAAUUUAAUGGCGAUUUAAAACUUAUUAUCAUUCAGCGGCAAAUUAAGCUUUUCAUGCAGCAUAACCUACAUCAAUAUUCAAAUAGUCUAAUAACAAAAAGUAAUCGCUCUCCUAGGUGUUAUCCCAGCCAACAUGUAUAUG
Long non-coding RNA from Cyprinus carpio (common carp), 1493 nucleotides. NCBI's taxonomy places the organism in Eukaryota, Metazoa, Chordata, Actinopteri, Cypriniformes, Cyprinidae. The record is from Ensembl.